AGAGGAUUGAGUAGUGGAUUUUACUUGAAUGCUCCAUCAGGUACAUAUCUCCAUUUGGGGUUUGGGGUAGUUCUCAUAUAGAUCUUUAUAUUCAGCCCCUUUGGGAAGAUACAUUUCACUGAAAAAUCAGAUGAAUCACACUAUUUCAUACAAAUUCUGGGGAUAGCCUUUGAGCAGGCCACUACUAUCAAGUUGAUUUUGUAACAGCUUGUGCAGAAUCAUAAGAAACCCUAGGACUUGACCGCAGCCCCUUGCGCCUACAUGUAUCCGAGCAUUCUACUUGGCAGUUCUUGUAAAUAAUAGAACCAUACAGUAACUUAGCAUUCUUUUUUGUUUUGCAAUCUGAGCAUGCUUACAAGCAACAAAGUGUGUGCUAUAUUUGUACGGAUCUACGUGCACCUAACAUCAUGCACUUGUACAAUUGCUUUGCACUAUUAUGUACUAUUUCCGAUUUAACAGUAAUACGGAUUUAACAGUAAUAAUACCGUUCAUUUUCUACAUAAGAUUUAACCGUUUGUUCUAUUUUAAAAGCUGAUAAGCAUGUGACUACCAUUUAUUUUGUUGUGACUUUUGUUGUUUUUAUUAAUGGUGGCACUUUAAGAACGGCUUAAAUUUUUAUAUAUCUGCACGGAAUUUUUAAACAAAUCCAGUGGUCAAACUUUGUGUCGAAAGUCAACGGUAUCAAAUACAGUACAUCAAAAGACCCUACAUGGACACACCUAUGCCACAGGCUUCUUGUGGGAAAGGUUCUGAGAAGAACUAGGUGCAUCAAAGGAACAGCAGAACGCUGUUCUCUGUCGUCGUACCUUCCUGGAGAAAAAUCCGUGUAGUCUGUCUAUCUGAUUCUGAUGAUCGCGUUCGCCGAUUGGAAUUUCAGACUCGAAUGCUUGGCUGGACCGCUGGACGCGCUUGCAACGUGCAAGCUUCCAGAAUUGUGGAAACACCACAAUAGCUG
RNAcentral lists this long non-coding RNA (955 nucleotides) under Zea mays. RNAcentral describes it as "long non-coding RNA (ZMAY_LNC003827)". The record is from RNAcentral. Lineage: Eukaryota; Viridiplantae; Streptophyta; Magnoliopsida; Poales; Poaceae.